UCUUCCCGCGGCGACGCCCAGGCCACCAAGGCCGGAGCGCACUUGGAACGCGAGCGGGAGCCUGAGACGCCCGGACCAACGUCUCAGAGCUGGGCCCUACGCAGCCUGCGAAGUUUCCGGCCCAUGGGACGGACGCGCCCGAAUGGUCGAGAGGAGCAAACUUGGCGCUCGCACACUCAGAGAGGAGCACAGGCCACGCCCAACACAAGAAGGCUUGCGAGCAGCUGCAGUAGCGGGACCCUGGCUCCCAGGCCACGGAGACCCAUUUGAGCCUCCAUUUCCUUGCCUGCCAGCCCAGCACAAGCAACAGUGUCUCCUCUGGGCCUUGUUAGGAGACUCAGAUGAUACCAUGGAGCAAAGCGCCAGUCCACACUGGUGCUCGGUGAGAGGUGCUUGUUUGUCCUGCUGCACAGUGGCCACUUCCAGGACCAACUCGGCCAGGGAAGGAGCGAGGCAGAGCCGGAGCAGUGACUUCAGAGCCUGCUGCGUUUUCACAGCAGGUGCAGCCUAA
RNAcentral lists this long non-coding RNA (511 nucleotides) under Oryctolagus cuniculus (rabbit). Its description in RNAcentral is "lncRNA (ENSOCUG00000032473.1)". The record is from RNAcentral. Lineage: Eukaryota; Metazoa; Chordata; Mammalia; Lagomorpha; Leporidae.